This 200-nucleotide non-coding RNA is filed under the name Xenorhabdus nematophila. RNAcentral describes it as "FMN sequence". It matches the Rfam family "FMN riboswitch aptamer (RFN element)". From Rfam's summary of the family: The RFN element is a highly conserved domain that is found frequently in the 5'-untranslated regions of prokaryotic mRNAs that encode for flavin mononucleotide (FMN) biosynthesis and transport proteins. This element is a metabolite-dependent riboswitch that directly binds FMN in the absence of proteins. In Bacillus subtilis, the riboswitch most likely controls gene expression by causing premature transcription termination within the 5' untranslated region of the ribDEAHT operon and precluding access to the ribosome-binding site of ypaA mRNA. The record is from RNAcentral. Lineage: Bacteria; Pseudomonadati; Pseudomonadota; Gammaproteobacteria; Enterobacterales; Morganellaceae.
GGUUUAUCUCAGGGCAGGGUGAAAGUCCCUACCGGCGGUAACAUGAAAUGAUCAAAUGAUUAUUUUGUGAAGCCCGCGAGCGCUCUGUUUGUUGUUAUCCCUAAUUUUGGAUUUUUUGAAAUUAAAGGAUAUAGCAGAGGUCAGCAGAUCCAGUGUAACUCUGGAGCCGACGGUGAUAGUCCGGAUGGGAGAGAAUAACA